This 300-nucleotide long non-coding RNA is filed under the name Physcomitrium patens. RNAcentral describes it as "long non-coding RNA (PPAT_LNC002301)". Lineage: Eukaryota; Viridiplantae; Streptophyta; Bryopsida; Funariales; Funariaceae. The record is from RNAcentral.
AAGGUUCUAAGGACUAUGUCCCUUACACAAAUCCUAAACCUUAAAUCAAAUCCUAACCAAAUUUUAAAUCCUAAACCAAAUCUUAAAUCCUAAAUCAAAUCCUAAUCAAAUCUUAAAUCUUAAAUCAAACCUUGAUCAAAUUCUAGUCAAAUUCUAAACCUUAAUCAAAUCCUAAUAUAAUCUUAAUAAAAUCUUAAUCAAACCUUAAAUCCUGAACCAAACCUUAACUAAAUCCUAAAUCUUAAACCAAAUCCUAAAUCCUAAAUCAAAACUUAACCAAAUCUUAAAUUCUAAAUCAAA